Molecule: ribosomal RNA, 484 nt
Filed under: uncultured bacterium
Lineage: Bacteria
Description: partial 16S ribosomal RNA
Rfam family: Bacterial small subunit ribosomal RNA
Source: RNAcentral
GACGAACGCUGGCCGCGUGCUUAACACAUGCAAGUCGAACGGAAAGGCCCUGCUUUUGUGGGGUGCUCGAGUGGCGAACGGGUGAGUAACACGUGAGUAACCUGCCCUUGACUUUGGGAUAACUUCAGCAAACUGGGGCUAAUACCGGAUAGGAGCUCCUGCUGCAUGGUGGGGGUUGGACAGUUUGGGCGGUUGGGGAUGGCCUCGCGGGUUAUCAGCUUGUUGGUGGGGUAGUUGCUUACGAAGGCUUUGACGGGUAGCCGGCCUGAGAGGGUGACCGGCCACAUUGGGACUGAGAUACGGCCCAGACUCCUACGGGAGGCAGCAGUGGGGAAUAUUGCACAAUGGGCGGAAGCCUGAUGCAGCAACGCCGCGUGCGGGAUGACGGGCUUCGGGUUGUAAACCGCUUUCGCCUGUGACGAAGCGUGAGGGACGGUAAUGGGUAAAGAAGCACCGGCUAACUACGUGCCAGCAGCCGCCGUAA